Molecule: long non-coding RNA, 963 nt
Filed under: Arabidopsis thaliana (thale cress)
Lineage: Eukaryota; Viridiplantae; Streptophyta; Magnoliopsida; Brassicales; Brassicaceae
Description: potential natural antisense gene, locus overlaps with AT1G48320 (AT1G48315)
Source: RNAcentral
AGAGAGACUCCGACUGCGACUGCGACGAAGGUAAUGUGAGAGUGUUGAAAGCGCGAGAUGGAGAUUGGGAGCUUCAAUUUCGUCUCUCUGGGCCUUCUCUCUUUCUUCUUCAUCAUCCUCCAGUGAGGAUUUUGUGGUGGUGGCCCUGCGAAUGCUACACCUGACAAACAUUCUAGCUCCUGCUACUUCUAGUGUCUGCAAAUACAAGAAGCUGUCUUAACAACUCCGAAGGAAGUACAUGAUUCUAAAGUUUCCAUCUUUAUUCCAUGACAAACAGAUCCCAAAGAAGAAUGCAUUUUUGCUAAUUAUCUUUGCAAGUUUUGGCUAGAUGAAAAAUUGUCCAUUCUUGAUCAAGGAGAGACAAAGUCAUUUUCCUGUUGAGGACAGUAGAGGAGUUUCUGUUGCAAGAAACAAGGAGUUGCUUCGGCGAAGACAAGGUCUCCAAGAUCAGCACUCUUCAAAUGGUUGAUUGAGAGUUGAAUUCCAGCGACCCUUUUGAAACCAGAAGCCAUGUGAGCUCCCAUACUUGCUAAAGACUCGGCUAUCAAAGCAGAUACACCACCGUGUAACACCUUGAAAGGCUUUUUGAAAGGAAAUUGAAAAUCUUUAUCAGAAUUUGGGGUUAGAACAAAGGGCCAAUGAUCAAAUUGAAGAAGAAUGAAACCUGGCAGCAGACGGGAGAAACAGGAAGGCGACCUGUGAUACGUGUCGGAGAUAAUUCAUCGAACUCGAAACCCAACAUGUGAAGUGGAGGGUCUAUAGCUUUGGUGUUGGACGAUGCAGAAUCCAUUUUUGUGCUCUGUUGCAGAGAGAGAGAUGGAGGUAGGUAGGGUGGGUGUGUUAGAGAUGAUAAGAGAGUUUGAGAAAUGGAUUGAAUUGGUGGUAGUUGGGAUUAACGUCAAGUGGAAAUUUCGAUGAAAUGGGUUUUUUGCGUAGGUGCGUGAAAGACGUUUACUUGACUGA